CAUCUCUGGUCACAAAGUUAUAAUUUAGGCCAAAAGCAUAGCCCGAACUUUCCUUUUUAUUUAUUUAACCUCUUUUAGCAGAAAGAAUUGAGAACUCUAUUUACCUAGAAAUGACAGGUAUUCGGGAGAAAUGAGUGAAGCCUGAAGGGUCAUCGAGUCUUGGAGUGAGAAGCAACCCAAGACAAUCUUUCUGGCCUGCUCAUUUGUGAAGGAGAAUACUGAGAACUAGGGAGAGACCCUCCCAGUGUGGCUGCCCAGCACGGGAGCUGGUACUGAGCUGGAUGUCGCAAAUCUGGAGUGGGGUGAUGGGAGAAGAACAGAAAGUUAAGCACAACCCAGAGAGCCAAUGAUAAAUAAUUCGGUAUGUGAAUUAUCUGCAGUGAAGACUCUCCUAAGCCAGGCCAAAUCAACUCCCCUACAGGUAGGAGAGUCUGAGUGCUUCCAAGGGUAGCCAAGCCCCUCACCGCAAUUCCCAGCUGUCCUGGCC
Long non-coding RNA from Canis lupus familiaris (dog), 487 nucleotides. RefSeq lists it as uncharacterized. The transcript has 3 exons. Lineage: Eukaryota; Metazoa; Chordata; Mammalia; Carnivora; Canidae. The record is from RefSeq and is a predicted model, not a curated record.